RNAcentral lists this unclassified non-coding RNA (4616 nucleotides) under Leishmania donovani. RNAcentral's name for it is "gene:LdHU3.15.1260(CDS-product:protein_phosphatas e_2A_regulatory_subunit_putative)". The record is from RNAcentral. Lineage: Eukaryota; Euglenozoa; Kinetoplastea; Trypanosomatida; Trypanosomatidae.
CUCUGCCCAUCCAUUAAGGAGCUCCCUACCGUAUCCAUCACUAAAUGGUUCUGGUGCACACACGCUCACGCUUCCUUUCCCACCCAACAUCGACUAAUCCCUUUUCCUCCUCCAUCCCUUCCCCUGCACCUGCAAAGCCUUCCCUCGCAUCCACUCCUCCAGCACACGCACGCACACACUUCGCUACGCGCCUUUCAUCGAUCCGCGGCCGACGCACGUGCACACCCACCACCUGGCGGAAAUCUGUGUGUGAGCUGUCGAGUGCGCCUCUGGGGCUGUGGGCUCAUCCACGUAGACACAGCACCGGCGAGGACCUUUACUCUUGCACUUCCUUCUCACCCACCCCCCACGCCGCCGUUGCCCCCGUUUACUGUAUUCUUCUUGUUGUGCCUGCCUGUCUCUGUACAGAGACACCGCACUCAAACGACGGACGCACACGCGCCGUCGCGCGCGCGCGAGCAUCGGUGCAUGUAUUAAACCGUAUGGCAGUCACCAACACCAUCAGCGCGACUGCCAUACCGAUCUCCCCACCCUCCUCGACCUCUCCCUUCCCCUGACCAUCCGGCGUUGGGCACGCGCGCUUGUGUACAAGCGAGGCGACUUCCUUGGCGUUUGCCUUUGUUGUUGUUGGCGUCGUCGUCGUCGUUCUGUCCGCUGGGCGCCCUCCGGCCCUCUCGCCCGUGUGAUGCGAGAACUCCCCACGUAGUGGGCGUGCGCAAGAGAAAGUGAAACACGACGAAGGCGGAGCUGCGGCGCACGGCAAUCGCGGAUUUGGCUGACGUCGCGAUCCUCCUCCCUCCCUCCCUACGUAUCUCCUCAGGAGAGAGAAGCCAGGCGCAACGCGUAUCCACGCAUCACCACGUAGAAGGGCGCAGCUUGCACAGACAGACAGACACACAUACUUGUGUGUGUGUGUGUGUGUGUGUGUGUAGAUACUCUCGCGAUAGAGCAGCUGUGACAGUUAAACUCACGCCACAACGUAACAGGGUGAGCGUGAGAAAGAGAGAUAGACGCGCCCGUGCCAGCUAGAGGGGGAGCGGCAGACGCCUUCACCGACUCGUGAACGCAUCCUAAGGCGCGGUGGCGCCAACGCCCGCCCUCUGCAAACGUCAAUAGUGCGCUAUGAGCCAUGAGGACCCCAACCGGGCCGCCUGGGGUACGGGCGCCACCGGCACGACCGUGGCGUCGCCACCGCUGCUAAGUUCGCUCUCCGCCUCCCCGUCGACAGCGUGUAGCAGCCACGAGUUCCGCACGCCGUUUAGCAUAUCGGCCUCCAGCAUCGCAGCACGCGUCGCAUCGCCAACGCCGCUGCCAGCGAACUGCGGCGACAGCGAGGCGGCGAACUACCGCACCACCUCACCACCGCUGCGAGAGGGGGAGGCGCGGCGAACUUCCCCGUGCACCUCCCCGUCCCCGCUGCCGGCCUCCCCGGCAGACAUGAACAGCGGCAGCAGCACACCGCAUGAGGACGCACUCGCCACCUCGGAAUCUUCUUUGUCUUCCUCUCCGACGGAGCCGCCAAGGUUUCAGACACUGCUGGUGUCACCUCCAUCAACGCCGUCGACGCCCGCAUCGCCGUACCCAGAUCCAGAGCCGUCCGCGCAGCCGUUAGGCGCGACCAGCCUCGGUGGUGCGAGUGCCGUCGCCGUCAACGCGAGUCUGAACGGCGUAUCUGGGGGUGGUAGCGGGGGCUCCUCCUCUCCUAAUACGUCACCGAAUAGUGCAGCCGCCAGCGGCAACCCGCGACGCUCGCUGAACGCCGCCUUCACGCUCAGCCCGCGCACCGAGAGCGACGUGGAGGUGUCCGUAGAGUGCAACAACGACGCGUCAAGCGUGUGCUUCGACCUGGACCGGCAUGACCCGCCCAUCAAGCAGUACUACAACCUCGGCAGCUUGGAGGAGCGUCGCACCUUUGUCACGGAGGGCUGUGUCGCGGCGGCGCGGAAAAUGUCCACACAGCGCAUCCUCGAUCACCUGUUGCCGGCGCUGCUCACGGCAUUCGAGGCGGACGACUACGGUGAGUCCUUCGACGACUGCGCCCCGUGCAUCGCGCGUGCACUGCCGCACAUUGUGGCAUGCAUGGAGACGCGCACCACGGCCAACCUCACCUAUUUCAUGGGCCUCAUCAUGGAGCUGUGCUGCUCCGCGGAGGGGCUCGUCGCCAAGGUGAUUACGACAUCCCUGCAGGCCAUCUUCGAGAUGGUGGAGGACGCUGUGCUACUCGAGCUGUUCCUGCCCUUUGUACUGACGAUGCGCGUAUCCUUCUGGAGUACACCGCGCGUCGUGGCAGCCGGGCUGCUCGGCUACCUCGCUAUGCGGCCGGCCGUGCUGCAGGCAAGCGGGCUGAGCGUUACGGACAUGUUCAACUACUACGCGGAGUGCAGCAGCGACGCCUCGGCGAUGGUCCGCGCGGCCGUCGUCAUGUCUCUGCACGACUGGGUGCGUGUCGCGGCCGUGCAUCGGCUCACGCUGGCCGAGAUGCCGCUGCCGCUGCUGAAGAGCCUGGCCACGGACGACCUCAGCGAUACUGUUCGCUACCUUUUGAUCGAAGAGGUGGUGAAGCUGGCGCAGAUGAUCGGGCCCAAGUCGACGUCCAAGUACCUGCUCAGCACCUUCGUCGGCGCGUACAUGGACCCGAGCUGGCGUGUGCGCUACACGGCGGCGAAUCGGCUUGGCGCGAUGGCAGCGUUGGUGCUGAACGCCGACGACUUGGAGGUGGUUCUAGAGACGCUCGCGCGUGACGAGGAGCCGGAGACGCGCGCGGCUGUGGCACGGCAGCUGGAGUUGAUGGUGCAGCACUGCAGCAGCGAGGUUGUCCAGCACUCCUGUGUCCCUGUUGCCGUGGCCCUGUCCCAGGAUGCCGAUCCAGUCGUGCGUCGCAGCGCGGCUCGCCAUUAUCACUGCUUUAUAUUUGGCAGUGAAGAAGUGGUUCGCACCAUGUGCAAGGCGCUUCGGGCACUGAUGCAAGACGCGGUCUUCUCUGUGCAAGAGAACGCUAUAGAGAGUCUGGGCGAUCUGGUGCCGGCGCUUGAGGGGAGUGUGCAGGCAGCUGUGCAGCAUGUGGCGCUAGGUAGUGCCGGAGGCGGCAGCGGAGUGGCGCACUGGCCGUCUAACUCAUCUCGCGGCUCUGCCUCGCGGCGGCAGCAGGCUUCAACGUCGGCCUCGGCGCACAACCGCGGUAGCCGUCACAAAUCGCCACACCUCUCCUCGCGACUCGCCAGUGGUGCGGCGGCCGUUAGUGGGCCAGCCGGUGCGGGGGAGGCGAACGUCGCCCUCACACGGAAGCGUGCCGACGCGAUUGUGCGCUCCUUCAUGACGGAGGUGCUGAACCUCGGCGAGUCGCGCAACUGGCGCAUCCGCAACGCGGUGGUGCGUAUCGUGCACCACUUCUGCAAGGUCCUCAGCCCUGACCAGUUCCGGCCCCUCACCAAGAUGCUCUUCAUCGCCCUGCACGACCCCGUCAGCACCGUCCGCUCGCAGGCGGUUCGCACGCUGAAGGAAGUGGCGGCAGCCUACGGCGGCGAGUGGGCUGCUCAGACGGCAACGGAGCUGCUACAGUCUGACACGCUUGCCCCGACGCGCGCUGUGAGCUAUAUGUGGCGGGUUGUGAUGAUCCAGUGCCUGGAGGUGCUGCUGCCGGCAGUGAGCGAGCUCAGCCCGCGCGAGGUGCGGCGGCAGCAGCUACUCGCGACGACGCUGCCGCUGCUGCGCGACUAUGUCACCGACCGCGUGCCGAAUGUGCGCCUCGCGGUGGCGCACGCGCUGCCCUGCUGGUACUCCUGGUUCGACGUAACAGAGACGGAGCGGGCGGCGUACAAUGCGGCACUCAAACAGCUGCAGCAGGACGCGGACAUCGACGUCCUCAACGCCUCGCACAAAAUAUCGUACAACAGCGGCAGCAGCAACAACGUCGCGGGCGGUGAGGCGCGCUGAUGGACAACGGUGGCGGAAGCAUCGCGAGCUCACAGAAGACGGUAUAGGGGAGGGACAAGACAGAGACAGAGACAGAGAGGGAUGAGGCGGGUGGCGAAAAGGGCGGCGGCGGCUGACAUGGGCCCCUCCCUUUGUUAUACUCCUCCGCCCUCCCCCUUUCCCCUGCAUGUUGCCGUAGCGCACCACCUCGCCGCCUCCCUCAUGCGCUCCUUCUCCGCUCUCGUGCGGUCCAUCUCUCUGCCCUCUUCCUCCCCCUCUAGCUCGGCCCUUUGUUGUCGUUCUUUCCCGUUUUUCGGUUCGAGACUUUACUGGCGUGUUGUCACGCGCGCAUCACCGAUGAUCAUGUUCAUUGUUCUCUCUUCUCUUAUUGCUGGCGGUUGCGCCCUGUGAUGGGUGCCGGCGAGUGCUGUGACACUUUACUGCUCGUGCAGUUGUCCCACCCCACCUUCUCAGCUUUCCCGAGCUUGCGUGCGUAUACGGGUGUGUGUUCGCCAAGGCCGCUUCCUUCUCUCUAUGUGUCGGUCUUAUCGCGCAUACGGGCCGUAAAGCACACGUGCGAUGUGCGUACACACACAAACACGCGUCGACACGCUCACACGCCCACCUCUUGCCGCUGCAGGUGUAGCACGUGGUUUCACCACCGAUUUAUGAUUGCGUUCAUGGGCCUCUCUCUCUCUCGUUGU